UAUCAAACGCAAUUAUCGAUCGAAGGGGA
This 29-nucleotide microRNA is filed under the name Xenopus laevis (African clawed frog). RNAcentral describes it as "xla-mir-122-3p". Lineage: Eukaryota; Metazoa; Chordata; Amphibia; Anura; Pipidae. The record is from RNAcentral.